Molecule: ribosomal RNA, 374 nt
Filed under: uncultured bacterium
Lineage: Bacteria
Description: bacterial SSU rRNA
Rfam family: Bacterial small subunit ribosomal RNA
Source: RNAcentral
GACGACCGGCGCACGGGUGAGUAACGCGUAUGUAAUCUGCCUUGUACAGAGGGAUAGCCCAGAGAAAUUUGGAUUAAUACCUCAUAGUAUUACUGAAUCGCAUGAUUUGGUAAUUAAAGCUCCGGCGGUACAAGAUGAACAUGCGUGACAUUAGCUAGUUGGUAAGGUAACGGCUUACCAAGGCCACGAUGUCUAGGGGUUCUGAGAGGAUGAUCCCCCACACUGGUACUGAGACACGGACCAGACUCCUACGGGAGGCAGCAGUGAGGAAUAUUGGUCAAUGGACGCAAGUCUGAACCAGCCAUCCCGCGUGAAGGAUGACUGCCCUAUGGGUUGUAAACUUCUUUUAUAUGCAAAUAAACCUACUUUCGUGA